GUCCACGCCGUAAACGAUGCGCACUAGGUUUGUCGGACUCUGACGUCCGGCGCGCCGAAGUAAAAUGGUAAGUGCGCCGCCUGGGGAGUACGGCCGCAAGGCUAAAACUCAAAGGAAUUGACGGGGCUCACACAAGCGGUGGAGGAUGUGGCUCAAUUCGAAGCAACGCGAAGAACCUGACCUGGGUUUGACAUGCUGGGAUUAGCUCCAUGAAAGUGGAGUGACACGGCUUGCCGUGGAACCAGCACAGGUGCUGCAUGGCUGUCGU
This 268-nucleotide ribosomal RNA is filed under the name uncultured bacterium. RNAcentral describes it as "partial 16S ribosomal RNA". It matches the Rfam family "Bacterial small subunit ribosomal RNA", at positions 793 to 1055 of the family's 1533-position model. The record is from RNAcentral.